CAGCAGCCGCGGGAAUACGGAGGGUGCAAGCGUUAAUCGGAAUUACUGAGCGUAAAGCGCACGCAGGCGGUUUGUUAAGUCAGAUGUGAAAUCCCCGAGCUUAACUUGGGAACUGCAUUUGAAACUGGCAAGCUAGAGUCUUGUAGAGGGGGGUAGAAUUCCAGGUGUAGCGGUGAAACGCGUAGAGAUCUGGAGGAAUACCGGUGGCGAAGGCGGCCCCCUGGACAAAGACUGACGCUCAGGUGCGAAAGCGUGGGGAGCAAACAGGAUUAGAUACCCCUGUAGUCCCUGUCUCUUAUAA
Molecule: ribosomal RNA, 301 nt
Filed under: uncultured bacterium
Lineage: Bacteria
Description: partial 16S ribosomal RNA
Rfam family: Bacterial small subunit ribosomal RNA
Source: RNAcentral